AGAGUUUGAUCCUGGCUCAGGAUGAACGCUAGCUACAGGCUUAACACAUGCAAGUCGAGGGGCAGCAUGGUCUUAGCUUGCUAAGGCCGAUGGCGACCGGCGCACGGGUGAGUAACACGUAUCCAACCUGCCGUCUACUCUUGGACAGCCUUCUGAAAGGAAGAUUAAUACAAGAUGGCAUCAUGAGUCCGCAUGUUCACAUGAUUAAAGGUAUUCCGGUAGACGAUGGGGAUGCGUUCCAUUAGAUAGUAGGCGGGGUAACGGCCCACCUAGUCUUCGAUGGAUAGGGGUUCUGAGAGGAAGGUCCCCCACAUUGGAACUGAGACACGGUCCAAACUCCUACGGGAGGCAGCAGUGAGGAAUAUUGGUCAAUGGGCGAGAGCCUGAACCAGCCAAGUAGCGUGAAGGAUGACUGCCCUAUGGGUUGUAAACUUCUUUUAUAAAGGAAUAAAGUCGGGUAUGCAUACCCGUUUGCAUGUACUUUAUGAAUAAGGAUCGGCUAACUCCGUGCCAGCAGCCGCGGUAAUACGGAGGAUCCGAGCGUUAUCCGGAUUUAUUGGGUUUAAAGGGAGCGUAGAUGGAUGUUUAAGUCAGUUGUGAAAGUUUGCGGCUCAAUCGUAAAAUUGCAGUUGAUACUGGAUAUCUUGAGUGCAGUUGAGGCAGGCGGAAUUCGUGGUGUAGCGGUGAAAUGCUUAGAUAUCACGAAGAACUCCGAUUGCGAAGGCAGCCUGCUAAGCUGCAACUGACAUUGAGGCUCGAAAGUGUGGGUAUCAAACAGGAUUAGAUACCCUGGUAGUCCACACGGUAAACGAUGAAUACUCGCUGUUUGCGAUAUACGGCAAGCGGCCAAGCGAAAGCGUUAAGUAUUCCACCUGGGGAGUACGCCGGCAACGGUGAAACUCAAAGGAAUUGACGGGGGCCCGCACAAGCGGAGGAACAUGUGGUUUAAUUCGAUGAUACGCGAGGAACCUUACCCGGGCUUAAAUUGCAGAUGAAUUACGGUGAAAGCCGUAAGCCGCAAGGCAUCUGUGAAGGUGCUGCAUGGUUGUCGUCAGCUCGUGCCGUGAGGUGUCGGCUUAAGUGCCAUAACGAGCGCAACCCUUGUUGUCAGUUACUAACAGGUCAUGCUGAGGACUCUGACAAGACUGCCAUCGUAAGAUGUGAGGAAGGUGGGGAUGACGUCAAAUCAGCACGGCCCUUACGUCCGGGGCUACACACGUGUUACAAUGGGGGGUACAGAGGGCCGCUACCACGCGAGUGGAUGCCAAUCCCCAAAACCUCUCUCAGUUCGGACUGGAGUCUGCAACCCGACUCCACGAAGCUGGAUUCGCUAGUAAUCGCGCAUCAGCCACGGCGCGGUGAAUACGUUCCCGGGCCUUGCACUCACCGCCCGUCA
Molecule: ribosomal RNA, 1396 nt
Filed under: uncultured bacterium
Lineage: Bacteria
Description: 16S ribosomal RNA
Rfam family: Bacterial small subunit ribosomal RNA
Source: RNAcentral